This is a long non-coding RNA of Girardinichthys multiradiatus, 306 nucleotides long. RefSeq lists it as uncharacterized. Lineage: Eukaryota; Metazoa; Chordata; Actinopteri; Cyprinodontiformes; Goodeidae. The record is from RefSeq and is a predicted model, not a curated record. The transcript is spliced from 3 exons.
GCCGCCACAGGGUCAUGGCCAGCAGAUGAGGGCAACAGGCCAGCACCCAGACAGAAGAAGUGGUACGAGCUGUAUCAAAGGAUUGAGAAAUGUCCCAUGAUGCAGCAUGGGCAGAAGUCCUUGUUUGGUGGUGUCGGGAGAUGUUUGUGUGGAUUCCACAUCCAGAAGCAGCCAUCUUCUACAAGCCCGGAGGCUUCAGCUGCAGGUCCUGCCCACGCUGCUCCUACACGGCAGACGUCCACUGCAGGUCCUGCCCACGCUGCUACUACACGGCAGACGUCCACUGCAGGUCCUGCCCACGCUGCU